This is a long non-coding RNA of Cygnus atratus (black swan), 746 nucleotides long. RefSeq lists it as uncharacterized. NCBI's taxonomy places the organism in Eukaryota, Metazoa, Chordata, Aves, Anseriformes, Anatidae. The transcript is spliced from 6 exons. The record is from RefSeq and is a predicted model, not a curated record.
AGAGUGUUCAAAACUAAAUCUGUGGACAAGACAAAAAGAAAAGAGCUGUGAACUCUUAAAAACAGCAAUUGUGUGGAACUCUAUAGACAUUGUUUUCCUAAGUGAUAUGUUUGGUUCGUAAGAGGAUGUGCCCUCUCUGCAUCAGUUUCAAGUAGUGUGCAAAGAUGAUGGAGAUGGUGCAAGAGAGCUCCAAAACUUUCAUACCUUCAGUAUUAUCUGAUGCCUUUCUGGCCAGUAAGUCUACCUGAUUUGUGAAUAUCCAGCAGGCAUUAUAUCCUUCACAGCAGGCAAGCCCAGUGGCAGUGGAUGAAAACAGCAGUGACUGAGCACGGAGUCGUGCUGCAAGGCUUGAGCGAGCUCUCUCAAAGAAGCUGAACACCUCCUGCAUCGGAGAACCUAUGGCAGAGGAAUUUUAAACAAGCAACCAACAUCAUGGAGGCAUCUGAACUCUCAUCUCCACCACUGAGAAAGAACCACCUUGCUUCCCUCAAAGCUGUACUGGAGGCCACCAGGUUAAUUCCAUGCUAUAUGCAUGGAUGAAAAGGAGGAUAAGAAGAAAGAGCAGGUCAUGAAGUGGCAAAGGUAUACGUGGAAUACAAAGGAAGAAAGUAAAAUAUGCAUUUGAUGUACAUGUGCACAUGCCAGAUUUACAAUCAACCCAAGGAGGACUGCCUUUUUCCCAGGAACUGAACACAACACCUGAAAACCAACAACUGCACCACUACCUCAGGUACCAAAUUAAAAGA